CUAAGCAUAUCAAUAAGCGGAGGAAAAGAAACCAACAGGGAUUGCCUCAGUAACGGCGAGUGAAGCGGCAACAGCUCAAAUUUGAAAUCUGGCUCUUUCAGGGUCCGAAUUGUAAUUUGUAGAGGAUGUUUCGGCGUUGGCGCCGCCCAAAGUUCCUUGGAACGGGACGUCAUAGAGGGUGAGAGCCCCGUGUCUAGGCGGAUGUCUUUGCCAUGUGAAACUCCUUCGACGAGUCGAGUUGUUUGGGAAUGCAGCUCAAAACGGGAGGUAAAUUUCUUCCAAAGCUAAAUACCGGCUGGAGACCGAUAGUGCACAAGUAGAGUGAUCGAAAGAUGAAAAGCACUUUGGAAAGAGAGUCAAACAGCGCGUGAAAUUGUUGAAAGGGAAGCGCUUGCAGUCAGACUCGGCCGCCGUUGCUCGGGGGGGCUUCUGCCCCUCUUACUCUUCGGCGGUUGGGCCAGCAUCGGCUCGGGCGGUUGGACAAAGGCCGCGGGAAUGUGGCUCCUUCUGGAGUGUUAUAGCCCGUGGUGCAAUACAACCCGCCUGGGUCGAGGUCUGCGCAUCUGCUAGGAUGCUGGCGUAAUGGCUGUAAGCGGCCCGUCUUGAAACACGGACCAAGGAGUCUAACAUUCUUGCGAGUGUUUGGGUGUCAAACCCGCACGCGUAAUGAAAGUGAACGUAGGUGGGAUCCCUCACGGGUGCACCAUCGACCGAUCUUAAUGUCUUCGGAUGGAUUUGAGUAUGAGCAUGAAUGUUGGGACCCGAAAGUUGGUGAACUAUGCCUAAGCAGGGCGAAGCCAGAGGAAACUCUGGUGGAGGCUCGCAGCGGUUCUGACGUGCAAAUCGAUCGUCAAAUUUGGGUAUAGGGGCGAAAGACUAAUCGAACCAACUAGUAGCUGGUUCCUGCCGA
RNAcentral lists this ribosomal RNA (910 nucleotides) under Quadrisporella heveae. RNAcentral's name for it is "partial large subunit ribosomal RNA". It matches the Rfam family "Eukaryotic large subunit ribosomal RNA", at positions 34 to 964 of the family's 3401-position model. Lineage: Eukaryota; Fungi; Ascomycota; Dothideomycetes; Muyocopronales; Muyocopronaceae. The record is from RNAcentral.